AGUCACACCUACACACUCUCUGCCUGUAACCCUUCCAAUUUCCCAAUCCCUUUCCCUUCUCGAUCCUGGCAUAUAUGAAUUCCCACCGUUCCAAUUACUAGCAGUCCACAACGUUUGCUGCUCGCAUGCCCACUUCACUUUAAAUCUCAAUCCUCACUGCAAUUUUUCACCUUAGUUUCCAGUAAUCAGUGACAACAAGUGUAAAUUUACCUGUUCAAAAUUGUGGGUUUUCCUUCUUUUAUCGGAAAAUGGCGAUUUCGAUGCUCUACGGACCUCAGAAUCUCAAGCUUGUCAAUGGAAUAGUAGCAGUAGCACCAAACGGCUUAGGGUCUGGUGGGAAAAAUUACCCUUAUGGGGGUUUUUCGCACAAGGGUUUAGUGAGCUAUGGCUGCAGAAGUCAAAAGACCAGAACUUUGGUGGGACCCAUAUGCAGUGUGUCAUCGUCGAGGCCUGCUUCCCAGCCUAGGUUCAUCCAGCACAAGCAGGAGGCUUUCUGGUUCUAUAGGUUUUUGUCUAUAGUGUAUGAUCAUGUUAUAAACCCGGGGCAUUGGACUGAGGAUAUGCGGAAUGAUGCGCUCGAGCCCGCGGAUCUUUACGAUAGGAAUAUGGUGGUGGUGGAUGUUGGAGGUGGAACUGGGUUUACGACUCUUGGCAUUGUUAAGCAUGUGGAUGCCAAGAAUGUGACCAUUCUCGACCAAUCGCCGCACCAGCUUGCCAAGGCUAAGGAGAAGGAGCCCUUGAAAGAAUGUAAGAUCAUUGAAGGGGAUGCGGAGGAUCUGCCGUUCCCAACCGAUUAUGCAGAUCGAUAUGUCUCUGCUGGAAGUAUUGAGUACUGGCCCGACCCACAGCGUGGAAUCAAGGAAGCAUACAGGGUACUAAAAAUAGGAGGAAAGGCUUGCCUCAUAGGCCCCGUGUACCCAACCUUUUGGCUGUCUCGUUUCUUUGCAGAUGUGUGGAUGCUCUUCCCAAAGGAGGAGGAGUACAUUGAGUGGUUCAAAAAUGCUGGUUUCAAAGAUGUUCAACUGAAAAGGAUUGGUCCAAAAUGGUACCGUGGUGUCCGCCGCCAUGGCUUGAUUAUGGGUUGCUCUGUGACAGGAGUGAAGCCCUUAAGUGGGAACUCCCCUCUUCAGCUUGGUACAAAGGUGGAGGACGUAAGGAAGCCUGUGAAUCCCUUGGUGUUUCUUUUUCGGCUCAUUCUCGGUGCAACUGCGGGAGCUUACUAUGUGCUGGUUCCAAUUUACAUGUGGAUUAAAGAUCAAGUCGUUCCACAAGGCCAACCUAUCUGAAAAGGGAGUUACAAAAUGUGAAGGGAUUGUCAGCAAUUCCUACAGUUUGCAUCCAUUUUUCCCCCGUUUGCUGUGAAGCUAGCCAUGGAUGCCAUUGAACAGAUUCUGUGGGAUGGUGGAGUCCUGGUAAGUCUUGAGGAGUCGGUUAUGGUUCGAAGACUUGGACCUUGUCGAAUCGGGUGACUUGACUGUGGUAGUCUUUGGCAAAGUUGGAAUGUGUCAAUGCUUUUUAGCCGGAAGAUGAUGAACAAAAUUGAAGUGUUCGUGGGUUUCAAGCACUAGAAGAGUCAAUGGAAGUUGGUUUUACAGGUAAUCAAAAUUUGAGUUCUCUAAUAACACGAUAAAAAAACUAACAAAGAAACAUUCAACCCCAAAUUUUAAGUUCUACGUAAAUGUAGGCCUUAUGUGAUGGUAAAUAAGUGCAUCUAGUCGAUAUGAAAAUUUUCAAGGUGUUUUAGCUCAAGCAGAUAAAAGCAUUCACCACUGCA
Molecule: RNA transcript, 1774 nt
Organism: Pyrus x bretschneideri (Chinese white pear)
Lineage: Eukaryota; Viridiplantae; Streptophyta; Magnoliopsida; Rosales; Rosaceae
Gene name: 2-methyl-6-phytyl-1,4-hydroquinone methyltransferase, chloroplastic-like
Exons: 5
Source: RefSeq, a predicted model, not a curated record